Molecule: long non-coding RNA, 344 nt
Organism: Micropterus dolomieu (smallmouth bass)
Lineage: Eukaryota; Metazoa; Chordata; Actinopteri; Centrarchiformes; Centrarchidae
Exons: 3
Source: RefSeq, a predicted model, not a curated record
CUCUGUCCCCCAAAUUCAUGGCCGCAAAUUACCAAGGCCACCAGUGCAACUGGCAGGAUCCACAGUCUGCUGGCCGACUGCAAGUUAGCCUCAAUAAGAAUUUCCAGUAGAGUCAGAGGUCGUCUACUCUUCACUGAGUCCGUCCCACUGAAGACGUGAGGAGAGAGGAAACAUGGAAACAUGUUGUUUAGAGACAUGAGACGUUCUUUCUUCUGAUGCCACGUCUGUUUCUGAUGGCGAUCGCACAGCUGGAUCCCAGCUGGAUCAGCUUUCAGUUGCUUUUAGUUUAUAAUUUGUAUUUUCACGUCUGUCCUGUCCUAAUAACAAUAAAGAUGCACAAUGAA